GACUGGCACUUGUUGAACUCCAUACAUACUCUCUAAGUCUCUGACCAAACUCAAACCCCAUUUUUUUUCUUUUUUUGGAUGCAACAGCAGUCGAGCUGAGAGGAGGACGAGCGAAGGGGGGCGAGAUGUGAUGUGAGGUGCAUCAGAUCGAUGCAAGGUUUCAAUGACGACGACUACAUCUCCAUAGCCCUGGUGCUUAGGGGCAUUUUGCAUGAAACUUUUCGGUUGUCGUCGACAAGGUCAGGCCUGGUCUAGUAGGGAAGCGGUGACAACGGCGUGUCGGCGGCUCGUUUUGGCAGCAGCAGUGGUUAUUCCACGUGACAUUGAAUCUCGAUGUAAUGUUUGAGAUACUUUGUACUUCCAAUGAAUUUUUAUAAUAAGAUCUGAUGCCUUUCAUAAAAAAAGCAAUACUGUAAGAACGGAAGUUUAUUGUGAUGAAGAUAACAAGAUCGCAAAAUAUGGUAUCUCAUUGUCCGGCUAAUUAUGUUUGUUACAACGUGCUCCGCAUUUAUUCAUGAACUUGUAUUAGCAGAGUGUAAACCUACUCAAUGGAAUAGAACUCCCUAUUUCGCCGCAAAAGAAAUUAAUCCCUGACAAAGUCUCUAUGUUUUUGUGUGGAGACAAAGUGUGCUUAUUUUUAAGAACAAGACAAAGUCUUGCUUAUGGAGUCAUUUUUGUAGAUAAAAAAAAAAAAGAGACUCGUCAGCAGACAUUUGGUGGGCUCAGCUGCGUAUUGGGCUACUGGGUUGUCCAUGCCUGAGCAAGGCUCGCUCAUCCCCUUCUUCCCCCAACCGCAGUAGCCGGCGGUGCCCCAUCCGCGGUGCCGGCGAACUGGACCCUGCCUCUCGUCUUGCACGCGCUGCCGCCAUUGCUCGCUGCGAAAUCCUCCCCUCCCUAGUAUAGCAUCUCUCUGCCCCACCCCAUCUGCAGGGGUGCGCGCCACCCCGCCGUUCCUAAUCGACGGCCUCUGGAAGGGGGAUAGGGCCAUGAGGCCGCCGUCGUCUUCGCUCUCAUCCCCCACCCCCACCUCGUCGACAAAGCCAGACAAGUGUGCAGCCUGAAGGGCAAGGAUGGGGAUAAAUCAUACGAGUUGUUCAGUCAAAAAAGAAUCACAUGCGUUCAGUCAAAAAAGAAUUCAAAGAACGGGCAAGAGUGAUCACUUUGCAAGAAGUAGCGGGUGGUUGGGGUCAAGCUGAAGGCAGCUGAAGCUGCGGUGGGCAGCUGCCUGGGAGCAGCUGGAUGCCUCGUUGACUGGCCAUCAACCAUAUGGAGCCUUGUCUCACUAACCACAUAACGCUGUCAGGUUUGCUCCCUGACGAGGGUGGCGGAAACCUUGUGUUCUUUGUGGACAUCUGUGUCAACUAGCGGAAGGUAAUUGUGGCGACUUUUUUUUUUGUACAUUUUGCAGCGCCAAAACUGAGGUUUCGAGCUAUGGUGAGUGUUUUUUUGUGUGUGUGUAGUUGACAGAAUUGUGGUCGGCUGCUUGACCUUAGAGCAUCACCAAUUGCUUACCUAAAAUGUACUAGUUACCUAUAUGGCUUUUAGGUAUGGACGCCAAUAACUAGCGAUCGUUCCCAGGGGAGGAAUCCUCAUGAACGAAUCGUGAACGUCGCUCGGGUGUGCUCACUGCCCACCAGCGGUGUGCCUCAGGUGCUCCUUCUAUAAAAAUAAACAAUUUCGUUUUUUUUUGAGGAAAAAUAAACAAUUUCGUUGAUACAAGCAAGUAAAUUUUGCCAUGUAAAAGGUCACAUGGCAAAAACUAAACAAAAAUAUGUUUAUUUACCAAAUAUGUAUAGCUACAUGGCCAAAAAAAGUUGUCGUGCUCUAGAGAAUAAAAGUACCACAUAUUUUUUUUAAAUAAAUAAAUCAAGUGUAAUGUAAGGCACAUAAAAAUGCAUGCUUGUACAAAAAAUAUAAUACAUCAAGUCGGAGCAAUUAUUAAACUAAUAAAAGAUAGAACUUGACAUAGAGAAGAAAAACUUAACAAUUAUUUUUGUGCCUAAGUUGACAUUAAGUAUAAGAUGAUGACAAAAGAAAUAUUGAAAAUUAAACUUGUGAAAAAUUAUAAUGAAAAUAAAUUUGCCAUGGGAUGUUCAAAUAAUUUUCUAUGAUAUACCAAAAAGAAAUUACCAUGCUUUGUUCAACAAAUUUCCAUGUUUUGGAAAUAGAAUUUAUGAUGUUGUAUGCAUUAAAAGUUGCCUUAGUUUGUACAAAACAAAUUCGCCGUGGUCCAAACAAUAAGUUUGGCAUUCUUUACAUUUUUGCCAUGGUCCCAAAAUUUAUCAUGGUCUAAAAUAUAAUUCCAUUUUUUAAACAAUAAUUUUUGACAUGGUUUGAACAAUAAAUUUGCCAUGGUCCCAAAGUUUAUCAUGGUCUAAAAUAUAAUUCCAUUUUUUAAACAAUAAUUUUUGACAUGGUUUGAACAAUAAAUUUGCCAUGGUCCCAAAAAUUAUCAUGGUCUAAAAUAUAAUUUUUCCAUGUUUUAAAACAUAAAUUUUGACAUGGUUUGAACAAUAAAUUUGCCAUGGUCCAAAGUAUAAAUUUGCCACGGUCAAAAAAUAAAGUUGUCAUGGUUCAAGAAAUAAAUUUGGCAUGGUAUAAAUUAUAAAUUUUCCAUGGUCCAAAAAACAAAUUUGCCAUGAUUCAAACAAUAACUUUUCUAUGGUUCAAAAAAAAAUCCAUGAUCCAAAAUGAAAAUUUGCCAUGGUCCAUAAAAGUAAAAUUUGCCAAAUGGUCUACAAGGGAAAUUAUGAAUGUUGAUUAAUUAUAUAAUACAUCUAACAAUAUUGAUUUUGUGUUAUGAAUGUUGAUGAAUUUUCUUAUAAACUUAGUCAAAACUUUACAACGUCCGACCGAAGACAAAUCUUAACGUAACAUGAUACCAGAUCAGACUUAUAGACAAAAACAAGUCAACGGCUAUCAACUACGAGGAUGUGGAGCAAACAAGCUACUUCUUCUUUUUAUUUUGAGGCAAACAAGAUGGAUCAUGAUAUCAGGUCAAGCGAAAGCCCACCUGGCCUUGAUAGGGCCAGACAACACGGCCCAACAUGUUCAUGGCCCAGACCGGCCAGAGAGAAAAUCGACCGGGCCCGUCCCCUUCCUCCGCCGCACUGCCCGGCGGAUGCUGCCGCUCCGGUGGACCAUAUCCCCACUUCUGAUGGAUUCCGGUCGUCCCUGCGCUCCUCUGGCAGGCCGCCGCUCUUCCGUCUCCGGUAGCUCACUGCCGCUGCCACCGCAUCGACAGGUUUGAUUCACUGAAUACUCCAAUCAACUACAGAUUUGAGGAUCCUCCUACCAAUCAACUGCUCGUGCAAGGAUUCUGAGCGCUGGGCGGCGAGGCGAAGAGCUCAGAGGAAUAAUCCAGAGGGGACGCACCAUUGGCACGCCAGAUCACCUGUAACACUGGACCCUGGAGGGGCGCUGGGGCAGCAACGCGAAGGGUAUCUGUGGGGUCGAGAUCGCUAUGGAACAGGAUCAUUGGGGCCAGUGAGUUGAGCUGGUCAGCGGCAGCUGCGUCGAAGCAGCUUGAGGAUUGGAGGUCAACAAUGGCGGCAAUGAAAAGCAGUGGCCCUGCCUUUUCGUCAAAAAAAAAACAAUGGCGGCAACUCUUGGGUGGUGGGCAGAAUGCCUCGCGCAUUAUUUUUGUGGUUGGGAUGUAGGCACUGUCAUAUUCAACCCAUCUAUCUCAAUUACAAGUUGUCAUGUAAUCCAAGCUUUUUGGAAGUGAAAGAUUUGGAGGAAUAGAGGAGCUCAUCAAGGCCACAAAAGAAAGCAUGCUGUAGAUCACCAUUCAGCAGCCCAUUCGAGGAUAAUUAGGCCGCGCUUGGUAUGGAUGUAACAGAAUACGGGUGUAAUUUAUUUACACGUGUAACUUACAGGCCAAGAGCUGUUUCCAGGUCAAAAACAAAACGACGAGCUGAUGUCUGUAUUAGUUUUACAGGGGUAUUUGAAAUGGAAAUGAUAAUCCAAACGA
Long non-coding RNA from Aegilops tauschii subsp. strangulata, 3973 nucleotides. RefSeq lists it as uncharacterized. The record is from RefSeq and is a predicted model, not a curated record. Lineage: Eukaryota; Viridiplantae; Streptophyta; Magnoliopsida; Poales; Poaceae.